This 406-nucleotide ribosomal RNA is filed under the name uncultured bacterium. RNAcentral's name for it is "partial 16S ribosomal RNA". It matches the Rfam family "Bacterial small subunit ribosomal RNA", at positions 30 to 526 of the family's 1533-position model. The record is from RNAcentral.
AUUGAACGCUGGCGGCAGGCCUAACACAUGCCAGUCUACCGAGUGGCGGACGGGUGAGUACUGUCUGGGACACUGCCUGAUUGAGGGGGAUAACUACUGGACACUGUAGCUAAUACCGCAUACCAUCCGAUGUUCCCAGAUGGGAUUAGCUAGUUGGUGGGGUAACGGCUCACCCAGGCGACGAUCCCUAGCUGGUCUGAGAGGAGGACCAGCCACACGGGAACUGAGACACGGUCCAGACUCCGACGGGAGGCAGCAGGGGGGAAUAUUGCACAAUGGGCGCAAGCCGGAUGCAGCCAUGCCGCGUGUAUGAAGAAGGCAUUCGGGUUGUAAAGUACUUUCAGCGGGGAGGCGUUACCCGCAGAAGAAGCACCGGCUAACUCCGUGCCAGCAGCCGCGGUAAUAC